Molecule: long non-coding RNA, 2688 nt
Organism: Bombus pascuorum
Lineage: Eukaryota; Metazoa; Arthropoda; Insecta; Hymenoptera; Apidae
Exons: 4
Source: RefSeq, a predicted model, not a curated record
UGUUAAUAAAUUCAAAAAUGAUAUAAAUGCUGGCGUGAUAAUUAUUCCAAACGUAUAGACGAAAUGCCUUACAAUGAAGUAUUGUAACGUAAUAUUUUUGUGCAAAUGGGAAAGCAAAAGAUGAUAGGAAAUAAUUUAAAUACAGAUAUAUUAGGAAGAAUCAAGUUUCUCAUUCAUCUUUUGGGACUACUGAGAAAUACCUACGUCCCUAUUUUUAACAAUAAGAUUAUUAUAAUUUGUUUAUAAACUAAACUUAAUAAGAAGAAAACCACUAUAGAAAAGUAAGCAGGCAAUGUACUUUUUACACGGCUAUGAUGAGACAAAAAUGAAAAGUACCGAAUUGUUUAUAAUGAUUGUGUGAGGUAUGAAAUGAGGUAAAAAGAUUAUUGCUUCCUUAUUGGUAAGAAAAAUAGGAUAAAAUAAAUUGAUUUUGUGUACAUAAUAUAUACCGCGUAUGUUUGUAUUUGUGUUAACCGAUCCUAAUAAUUUAAUUUUUGGAAAACAAUAUGUACACAAUACUUCUUUAAAAUAUAGUGAUAAACAUCUAUACAUUAGAUUUAAAUAAGACUGACACAAAGAUUUAGUGAAUUUGUAUUACAAACAAUAUUUUGCUGAUUCUACCACAGUACGUGCAUCGAGCUCUAGAUAUUCUUUCAGUUUUUACUCUACACUCAAGAACACAUACAUACAAUUAUAUUUAUAUACUGAUAGUUUCAUUCUAGGCAAAAAACAUCGUAAUAAGAUUUUUAAACUAAAAGAAAAUAUUGUAUUUUUCUCAAAUUCAACACUGUUCUAUGUCACAAAAGUAUUACAUUAAAAAAAUUAGACAAAAAAUAGUGUUGCCUUUUUUUUAAUUUCACAGUUAAAGCGAAAUGUACAAAACGCAAUCUUAACAAUAUUAAACGUUUUAAGUAAAUAGUAUUGUAUAAAGUCCUAUUGUCUGACAUUAAACUAUAGAAAAUAAGCUAUAUUUAAACUAAAUUUUUCACUAAAAAAAGUAUACAUUUUAAGUUAUUAAAUUUUAUAUAUAGUUUUCCAUGUAUCAUAUUCAGUAAAAAUCUUUUCUUAUUAAUUUGUAUUAAAAUUGUAAAAAAGAAUUUCUAUCUUGAUGUAUAUAUAAAAUGGGGAAUUUGAUACUUUCGUUCUGUGUUGCGAAAUAUUUUGGUUGUUAAGACAAAUCAAAGAAUUUUUGAACAACUUUCAUGUCAGGUAUAAUUUUAUAAAAUUUAAUUGGAACUAUAAAUAUACAUAAAAUCAUAUCAUGAAAUUUAUUUGUAGAAAGGCAUGAAGAAUUAGAUUAAAUGUAAUAUGGCAUAGAUGUUCAUCAUAGUUUUUCACAGAACAAUCUAAAUUUCUUUUAUUUAUUUAUAAAAAUUCUUUGGUAUGUAAAUUUUAUGAAAGCUUUUCAUUUGUGUACUUUAUAUAAUUAAAUAUAUUAUGUAUUCUAAUACUUUGUUUUAUUACUACUAAACCUUAAAAUGUAACAAUUAUUUUAUUUCGAACAUUAAAAAAUAUAAUACAACUAAAUCGUUAAAAGCAUGAAUUUAAAAACUGUGUCUCGCAAAUAUUGGGAACUCUUGUCUUGAUAAAGUUUGAUGCAGGUACUACCUAGUGUUACAUGUGUAUGUGUAUACACAUUAUAUAUAUAUAAAGUAUUUCACACUUGUACCACAUUUAAAAGAACGUCUCUUAUAUCGUUUCUGAUUUAAUAGCAUUAUCUUGCAGUAAUUAUCAAAUAAUUUUGUUCUAACAAUGUGUUUGAUUGAUUAACGAUACCCAGUUAUUUGUAUUGUAGUACAUGAGAUCGCAUUCAUUUAUCAUUAUCAAUUAUUAAUUAUAUUUAUAGGAUACCAAAGUUAUAUGACAUGGAAAGAAGCUAGAAUAUAUAUAUUCAUCACAUUAUAAAAAAUAUAAUCGGUUAAUAGUUAUUUGGCGAUCUUCCAUAGGUUAUAAUUUUUAAAUAUUUAAUCUGCAGUGAACGUACAAUAAAAUGAAACUACAUUUGUCAGUAUCUAAAAAUAAUUACAAUAGUAUUUCCAGCCGUUCUAUCGUAGCAUUACAAUAGCAUUAAACAUAUGUAUUGUAAUAAAAAAAAUUACAUACUAUAUCAUGAAUUUAGGAAUUAAAAAGACGGAGUACAGAUCUAUUGGGCUUAAGCUUAUGUCGUAACGAGAUACUGCGCAUGUGUGGUGAACGAUCGGUGAUUGGUCGAUAACAAAUGAAUUUCGUUAUUGUGUUGUUAGAAACAUAAAUGAAAAUGAUAUUUCACAAUCCUAACUGGAGAUACCAAGUGAUUAGCAUUUACGAUGCCUUGUUUAGCCUAGCAAUGUUUAGCGUAUUUCAAUUAAUUUUUAGAAACAAAUUACUUUGAAUAAAUAAGAUAUCUUUUUUGUGAUAUGUUUGUGCUUGAAGAAAACCGAGUACUGCAUGCAAAAUGAUACAUUCUGAAAGAGUAGAGUUUGUCCAGAUUACAAAGUCAUACUCUACAAAUGUCAGAAGAUAGAGAAAUGGAAAUAGUUGCUGAUAAAUCCUAAAACAUGUAAAUUUGAAGUAUAUCUAGUAAUAAAUAAUAUAAGUCAUUUAAGAUUUGUUAAAAUAAUGUCUCUUGGACCAACAGAAAAUUAAGCUUGCAUCGAGAAAGAUAUUAACUUUUUAGAUGAUCUAGUCCUUAAUAGAAUAUUUACAAUA